UCCAUGAAGCUGGAUUCGCUAGUAAUCGCGCAUCAGCCACGGCGCGGUGAAUACGUUCCCGGGCCUUGUACACACCGCCCGUCAAGCCAUGGAAGCCGGGAGUGCCUGAAGUACGCGACCGCAAGGAGCGUCCUAAGGUAAAACCGGUGACUGGGGCUAAGUCGUAACAAGGUAAC
RNAcentral lists this ribosomal RNA (176 nucleotides) under uncultured bacterium. Its description in RNAcentral is "partial 16S ribosomal RNA". It matches the Rfam family "Bacterial small subunit ribosomal RNA", at positions 1317 to 1500 of the family's 1533-position model. The record is from RNAcentral.